This 377-nucleotide ribosomal RNA is filed under the name uncultured bacterium. Its description in RNAcentral is "bacterial SSU rRNA". It matches the Rfam family "Bacterial small subunit ribosomal RNA", at positions 523 to 898 of the family's 1533-position model. The record is from RNAcentral.
AAACGUAGGUGGCAAGCGUUAUCCGGAUUCACUGGGCGUAAAGCGCACGCAGGCGGCCUGGAAAGUAGGGCAUGAAAUCUCCCGGCUUAACUGGGAGGGGUUGUCCUAUACUACUGGGCUGGAGGAUGGGAGAGGGAAGCGGAACUGCCGGUGUAGUGGUGAAAUGCGUAGAGAUCGGCAAGAACACCAGUGGCGAAGGCGGCUUUCUGGCCCAUUCCUGACGCUCAGGUGCGAAAGCUAGGGGAGUGAACGGGAUUAGAAACCCCGGUAAUCCUAGCCGUAAACGAUGUACACUAGGUGUCGGGGGUAUUGACCCCCUCGGUGCCGAAGCCAACGCGUUAAGUGUACCGCCUGGGGACUACGGCCGCAAGGUUAAA